UACGUAGGGGGCAAGCGUUGUCCGGAAUCAUUGGGCGUAAAGCGCGUGUAGGCGGCUUGGUAAGUCCGCUCUGAAAGCCCGGGGCUCAACCCCGGGAGGCGGGUGGAUACUGUCAAGCUCGAGUCCGGAAGAGGCGAGUGGAAUUCCUGGUGUAGCGGUGAAAUGCGUAGAUAUCGGGAGGAACACCUGUGGCGAAAGCGGCGCACUGGACCACAUCUGACGCUGAGGCGCGAAAGCUAGGGGAGCAAACAGG
Molecule: ribosomal RNA, 253 nt
Filed under: uncultured bacterium
Lineage: Bacteria
Description: partial 16S ribosomal RNA
Rfam family: Bacterial small subunit ribosomal RNA
Source: RNAcentral